AGAGUUUGAUCCUGGCUCAGAGCGAACGCUGGCGGCGUGCUUAACACAUGCAAGUCGAACGGGUGUAGCAAUACAUCCGUGGCGAACGGGUGCGUAACACGUGGAUAACCUUCCUUCAGGUGGGGAAUAACCCAGUGAAAAUUGGGCUAAUACCGCAUGACAUGACGAUGCCGCAUGGUGUUGUCUUCAAAGGCGCAAGUCGCCAGAAGAGGGAUCCGCGGCCGAUUAGCUAGUUGGCGAGGUAAUGGCUCACCAAGGCUUUGAUCGGUAGCCGGACUGAGAGGUUGACCGGCCACACUGGAACUGAGACACGGUCCAGACUCCUACGGGAGGCAGCAGUGGGGAAUCUUGCACAAUGGACGAAAGUCUGAUGCAGCAACGCCGCGUGGGGGAUGAAGCUUCUCGGAGUGUAAA
This 414-nucleotide ribosomal RNA is filed under the name uncultured bacterium. Its description in RNAcentral is "bacterial SSU rRNA". It matches the Rfam family "Bacterial small subunit ribosomal RNA", at positions 8 to 429 of the family's 1533-position model. The record is from RNAcentral.